RNAcentral lists this long non-coding RNA (1338 nucleotides) under Phasianus colchicus (ring-necked pheasant). Its description in RNAcentral is "lncRNA (ENSPCLG00000016592.1)". The record is from RNAcentral. Lineage: Eukaryota; Metazoa; Chordata; Aves; Galliformes; Phasianidae.
GCUGUUUUGUGUGUGUGUGUACAAUUGGUUUUGUGAGGCAUUUUCUCCUCUACCCCAACAAUUAUCAAGACAACACAUAGAUUAAAAAAGAGAAUUUUGUAUAUUCAGUUUUAUUAAAAUAGGUAGAAGUAGAAGGGGUAAUCACAAAAACCUUGUCUUCAUUUUUUUCUUUCAACUAAGAAGGGACAUUCUCAUGGCCGCUAUCUGAUGGUCUGAACAAGUAAGUCUUUGAGCAAAUCUGGAUCUUCUAACAUGGGACAUGUAUUUGCCUACUUGUGCAACCUAUUGUAGGAUACCUGCUUUAGCAGGGAAGUUGGACUCAAUCUCUUGAGGUCCCUUCCGAACUCCACUUUGUGAUUAUGUAUGGUAUAUUGUUUCCUGGUUGCAGGAAGUAUUGCAGUUCAGACUGUCUGUUUUGAUGAUGGGAAUCUUUACUAUAUUUGCUUACACUUGAUUUUUUUGUUUGGAAGAAAUUCAACAGUGCUAUAUAGAAGAUUUCAAAGGCUGCUUACAAGUCUGUUACCUGUAAAUCAAUACCUUCAGCACCAUGUCAGACACAUCAGCUGCAGCAGGCAAUGGCUACAAGCUUUUUUUGUUCCUGCUCAGUGGAACUGCAGGCCAUGGAAACAUUACCAUUCUCAGCACACUAUCAUGCCCAGACUCAUCAGCUGAAGCAAUAAUCAUAUCAUCAGCAAUUAUGUCUUUCCUGGAAGUAUCACCAAGUGACUCAUAAGUCUGCCUGCAAUAUUUCAUGGACACAUUUAAUCUCAAAUGUUAAUCUAGAAAACUGAAUUUGUCCUCCUGGAGUGUUAGAGGUACCUAAAAAGGGACAUGCCUAUGUAAUUUAACCUGCUAGGAUCCAUUUUUCUUAUCUGAAACUAUAAAAAGUUACUUGGCUACUAAUUGAUGUUGAAAAUCUUCUGAUGUAAGUUAGCAGUAAUGAUAGACAUAGCGCUAUUUAAUCUUCCAUUAUGAAACAUACUCUGUGAGUCCCUGUUCUUCACUUUUUUCUUGCACCAUUCAAACUGCUGAUGCAUUCACUAAUGAUACCAUCUUUCUCAGUUCUUUACUGGCUAAGGACAAUAUUUUGCUGCCUUUAUUUGCUCAAACCGUAUUUUAUUGCAUAAAUAGUUGCCUUAACCUUUCUGUUGAUCAUAGUGAAACUACUCAUAUGGCUUACCAAUUGGACUUUAGGUAUUCUUAGUGCAGCAGAAGUUAUCUUACUGCAGCCACAGACCCCACAUACAACCUUAAUUUCAACGUAAAGAUGAUUAGACUCUCCAGUUCCUUUGAAUAUAUCACAAUAAACUAUGACCAUAUCCUCUGUGGGUAUUAAUU